This 266-nucleotide long non-coding RNA is filed under the name Populus trichocarpa (black cottonwood). RNAcentral's name for it is "long non-coding RNA (PTRI_LNC002576)". The record is from RNAcentral. Lineage: Eukaryota; Viridiplantae; Streptophyta; Magnoliopsida; Malpighiales; Salicaceae.
UCUUCGUCGUCUCAAAACUUUAACCAAUUCCUCCUCCUCAUCUCCACCGUCCGUUGCAAUAAAUCUCUCCUGGCUUUCCUCAGCCCUUGAUUUUCUCUCCUACACACAUAACGAAGCCAUAAAUCUACUUUCUUCUCUCAAGCUCGAUAAUUCUUUGGAUUUUUACCUGGAUAACAGUGUCAGGCUCCUCGAUCUCUGCAACUCGAUCAGUUCAGAGAUCGAACGCUUCCGCCAUCGCCGACUUGUCCUCAGUUUUGCACUUCACG